UAGAGCCUACAUGAAGCCCUCAUGAAUGAUGGACCUUGGCCUUAGCCUUGGUCCCCUGGGCCUUGGGCACACCACCUGGAUCACAACACUAACUUCUAUAUAAAGAAUUUAAUCUUUGUUGGAAGUUAUGGGACGUCGCAUGAGAUGUGAUGUGCCAAACAUUAUUUUUUCUCUUCCUAGCCUCUUAAUUAUUACAUGCCUUAAUUUAUGGGACC
This 215-nucleotide long non-coding RNA is filed under the name Elaeis guineensis (African oil palm). RNAcentral describes it as "long non-coding RNA (EGUI_LNC073627)". The record is from RNAcentral. Lineage: Eukaryota; Viridiplantae; Streptophyta; Magnoliopsida; Arecales; Arecaceae.